UGCCUAACACAUGCAAGUCGAACGAGGUGCCAGAGCUUGCUUUGGUUACCUAGUGGCGCACGGGUGAGUAACGCGUGGGAACCUACCCGUAGGAUGGGGGACAACCGCUGGAAACGGCGGCUAAUACCGCAUACGCCCUAUGGGGGAAAAGGCUUCGGGCCGUCCUUUGGAUGGUCCCGCGUCCGAUUAGCUUGUUGGUGGGGUAACGGCCUACCAAGGCGACGAUCGGUAGCUGGUCUGAGAGGAUGAUCAGCCACACUGGGACUGAGACACGGCCCAGACUCC
RNAcentral lists this ribosomal RNA (285 nucleotides) under unidentified marine bacterioplankton. RNAcentral's name for it is "partial 16S ribosomal RNA". It matches the Rfam family "Bacterial small subunit ribosomal RNA", at positions 45 to 339 of the family's 1533-position model. The record is from RNAcentral.